UACGUAGGGGGCAAGCGUUGUCCGGAAUUAUUGGGCGUAAAGCGCGCGCAGGCGGCUGUUUAAGUCUGGUGUUUAAACCUAGGGCUCAACCUUGGGUCGCACUGGAAACUGGGCAGCUUGAGUGCAGAAGAGGAAAGUGGAAUUCCACGUGUAGCGGUGAAAUGCGUAGAGAUGUGGAGGAACACCAGUGGCGAAGGCGACUUUCUGGGCUGUAACUGACGCUGAGGCGCGAAAGCGUGGGGAGCAAACAGG
Molecule: ribosomal RNA, 252 nt
Filed under: uncultured bacterium
Lineage: Bacteria
Description: partial 16S ribosomal RNA
Rfam family: Bacterial small subunit ribosomal RNA
Source: RNAcentral